RNAcentral lists this transfer RNA (73 nucleotides) under Ailuropoda melanoleuca (giant panda). It matches the Rfam family "tRNA". From Rfam's summary of the family: Transfer RNA (tRNA) molecules are approximately 80 nucleotides in length. Their secondary structure includes four short double-helical elements and three loops (D, anti-codon, and T loops). Further hydrogen bonds mediate the characteristic L-shaped molecular structure. tRNAs have two regions of fundamental functional importance: the anti-codon, which is responsible for specific mRNA codon recognition, and the 3' end, to which the tRNAs corresponding amino acid is attached (by aminoacyl-tRNA synthetases). tRNAs cope with the degeneracy of the genetic code in two manners: having more than one tRNA (with a specific anti-codon) for a particular amino acid; and 'wobble' base-pairing, i.e. permitting non-standard base-pairing at the 3rd anti-codon position. The record is from Rfam by way of RNAcentral. Lineage: Eukaryota; Metazoa; Chordata; Mammalia; Carnivora; Ursidae.
GCUCAGCUGGCCCAGUCAGUAGAGCGUGGGACUUCUGAUCUCAGGGUCAUGAGUUCAAGCCCCACAUUGGGCA